RNAcentral lists this ribosomal RNA (245 nucleotides) under uncultured bacterium. Its description in RNAcentral is "partial 16S ribosomal RNA". It matches the Rfam family "Bacterial small subunit ribosomal RNA", at positions 524 to 768 of the family's 1533-position model. The record is from RNAcentral.
UACGAACUGUGCAAACGUUAUUCGGAAUCACUGGGCUUAAAGGGUGCGUAGGCGGUCAUUUAAGUAGGGUGUGAAAGCCCUCGGCUCAACCGAGGAAUUGCGCCCUAAACUGGAUGGCUGGAGUGAGAUAGGGGUGUGUGGAACUUCCGGUGGAGCGGUGAAAUGUGUUGAUAUCGGAAGGAACGCCGGUGGCGAAAGCGACACACUGGGUCUCAACUGACGCUGAGGCACGAAAGCCAGGGGAG